RNAcentral lists this ribosomal RNA (487 nucleotides) under uncultured bacterium. Its description in RNAcentral is "bacterial SSU rRNA". It matches the Rfam family "Bacterial small subunit ribosomal RNA", at positions 28 to 514 of the family's 1533-position model. The record is from RNAcentral.
GAUGAACGCUAGCGGCAGGCCUAACACAUGCAAGUCGAGGGGUAUAGGAAGCUUGCUUCCUUGAGACCGGCGCACGGGUGCGUAACGCGUAUGCAAUCUACCUUGUACAGGGGAAUAGCCCAGAGAAAUUUGGAUUAAUGCCUCAUGGUAUAUAGUUUUCGCAUGAUUACUAUAUUAAAGAUUUAUCGGUACAAGAUGAGCAUGCGUCCCAUUAGUUAGUUGGUGUGGUAACGGCACACCAAGACGAUGAUGGGUAGGGGUCCUGAGAGGGAGAUCCCCCACACUGGUACUGAGACACGGACCAGACUCCUACGGGAGGCAGCAGUGAGGAAUAUUGGGCAAUGGAGGCAACUCUGACCCAGCCAUGCCGCGUGCAGGAAGACGGUCCUAUGGAUUGUAAACUGCUUUUAUACGGGAAGAAACACUCCGACGUGUCGGAGCUUGACGGUACCGUAAGAAUAAGGAUCGGCUAACUCCGUGCCAGCAG